AUACUUACCAGCCCAGGGGAACUACCAUAACCAAGAAGGUGGUAUUUCUCAGGACGAGGUUCAUCCAUUGCACUCUGGGUAUGUUGAUUGUUGAGAUUUCCACAAAGGUGA
This 111-nucleotide small nuclear RNA is filed under the name Cervus elaphus hippelaphus. It matches the Rfam family "U1 spliceosomal RNA", at positions 1 to 110 of the family's 166-position model. Rfam says of the family: U1 is a small nuclear RNA (snRNA) component of the spliceosome (involved in pre-mRNA splicing). The record is from RNAcentral. Lineage: Eukaryota; Metazoa; Chordata; Mammalia; Artiodactyla; Cervidae.